This 73-nucleotide transfer RNA is filed under the name Stegodyphus mimosarum. It matches the Rfam family "tRNA". Rfam says of the family: Transfer RNA (tRNA) molecules are approximately 80 nucleotides in length. Their secondary structure includes four short double-helical elements and three loops (D, anti-codon, and T loops). The record is from Rfam by way of RNAcentral. Lineage: Eukaryota; Metazoa; Arthropoda; Arachnida; Araneae; Eresidae.
GCUUUCGUGGUGUAGUGGUCAGCACGCUCGACGCGUAACCGAGAGAUCUGUGGUUCGAUUCCCGGCGAAGGCC